Long non-coding RNA from Olea europaea var. sylvestris, 1104 nucleotides. RefSeq lists it as uncharacterized. The transcript is spliced from 3 exons. The record is from RefSeq and is a predicted model, not a curated record. Lineage: Eukaryota; Viridiplantae; Streptophyta; Magnoliopsida; Lamiales; Oleaceae.
AUCUCAUUACCAAAACUUUUUCAAAGUAGUGUGUUUGAUUACUUUUCCACUUAAAUUCUUACUUAGAAUAUUUGAUUGUUAUUUUUUUUGAUAGAAAAUAUUUUUUAACUUUUGAAAAUAUGGCUAAGAAAACAUUUGUGAUGCAACUAUGGUCGAGGGACAGAAUAUUACAGGUCUGAGAGAAGAGAAGAAGAUAACAGAGUCGGGGAAAAGGCGAGAGAUGGUUUCGACUUCAAUGGUGACGAUAUUGCUGAGAACAGGACUUGAUGAUGGUGCUGACAACCUCUGUGGCAGUGCUUAUUGGGUGUGUUGUAAUUCUCAUGUGGCACUGUGCUCCCAGAUCUGCCUAGAAGGCGGUGGUUUCGCUGUCGAAAUCAAUGGUGCGCAAGGCGUUGGUGGAGUUUCAGGAUGUCGACGAUGAAAAGAUGAAAAUCACCAUUUUUAUGGGACCCAGACUGGUACUGUGAAAGGUUUUGCUAAGAGCAUUUAUUUGCAUCAAGUUCUCUGGAGAUUGGAGUACAUAGAAGCUUUGGAGUGCACAUAACGAGGAGCAAAAAUCUAAAAAAUAUGGUUAUUGGAUGUCCAAAGACCAGUGACAGUGACUUGAAAUGCAAGAAGGUAUAUUAAAUCUAAUUUCCUGCCAUUUUACACUUGUAGUAGCUUAACUUUAAUCGAAUGAACUUUUUAAAAGAGAAAUAUGAGUUGCAAAAUAAUAGUUAUAUUGAACUUGUAAGGGUACAUUUUCCAUGACUUAAAGAACAAGUAAAUUCAUCUGAUUUAUCUUAAUAAUCAAGGUACUGAUUUUCAAGAGUCUAAUUUAUUUUCCAUCGUCUUCCUUUUGAACUUAACAUAUAUCUCUUUGUAUGCGUGUUGGCAAAAAAACAAAGCCCACAAGCUCUCCAUCAGAACAACAGAGUCGAAAAAAGAAGUAAUCCUUGUUGUACAAAUUUGGAAACCUGUGAAGAUAUUGUAUUCUUUAUCGUACUUCCAUGUGUUUGCUCAAUGUUUCUUCCUUUAUUUAUUUGUCUUACUUUUUGCUCCUACACAGGGGUAUAAAUAUUAAAAGAUUUGUAUCAUCUUUAGAUUUUUUACCUUUUUGGUUUC